RNAcentral lists this ribosomal RNA (253 nucleotides) under uncultured bacterium. RNAcentral's name for it is "partial 16S ribosomal RNA". It matches the Rfam family "Bacterial small subunit ribosomal RNA", at positions 524 to 776 of the family's 1533-position model. The record is from RNAcentral.
UACAGAGGGGGCGAGCGUUGUUCGGAAUUACUGGGCGUAAAGGGCUCGUAGGCGGCCAACUAAGUCAGACGUGAAAUCCCUCGGCUUAACCGGGGAACUGCAUCUGAUACUGGAUGGCUUGAGUUCGGGAGAGGGAUGCGGAAUUCCAGGUGUAGCGGUGAAAUGCGUAGAUAUCUGGAGGAACACCGGUGGCGAAGGCGGCAUCCUGGACCGACACUGACGCUGAGGAGCGAAAGCCAGGGGAGCAAACGGG